RNAcentral lists this non-coding RNA (130 nucleotides) under Karenia brevis. Lineage: Eukaryota; Dinophyceae; Gymnodiniales; Kareniaceae. The record is from RNAcentral.
GGGGGUAGCACCAGUCGCGGGCCACCAGAGAUCACAACUCCAGGACGUCUUUCAGAGGAGAAGCCAAUUGCCUUUGAUGAGGGUACCGGUUCACGUCAUGGAAGUGCUGCCAGGUCUUCGGAAGGAGUUC